Molecule: ribosomal RNA, 420 nt
Filed under: uncultured bacterium
Lineage: Bacteria
Description: bacterial SSU rRNA
Rfam family: Bacterial small subunit ribosomal RNA
Source: RNAcentral
GACCAGACUCCUACGGGAGGCAGCAGUGGGGAAUAUUGCACAAUGGGGGAAACCCUGAUGCAGCGACGCCGCGUGAGUGAAGAAGUAUUUCGGUAUGUAAAGCUCUAUCAGCAGGGAAGAAGUUGACGGUACCUGAGUAAGAAGCCACGGCUAACUACGUGCCAGCAGCCGCGGUAAUACGUAGGUGGCAAGCGUUGUCCGGAUUUACUGGGUGUAAAGGGCGUGUAGCCGGGUUGACAAGUCAGAUGUGAAAUCCUGCGGCUUAACCGCAGAACUGCAUUUGAAACUGUUGAGCUUGAGUACUGGAGAGGGAGAUGGAAUUCCUAGGGUAGCGGUGAAAUGCGUAGAUAUUAGGAGGAACACCAGUGGCGAAGGCGGUCUGCUGGACAGCAACUGACGGUGAGGCGCGAAAGCGUGGGG